GUCUUCCAAAGCGGACGUUAACAGAACGAUGAAGUGUUCCACGUUGGGUCAUUCAUGACAGCACUUUUACAGUGGCUUCCUCUCCAAGUGUCACGGGUGGUCAAAAGAAGAGAUUGACAGUUUCAGAAGGGGCUCAUGAUCUAUGCAGGGAAGCCUGUGCCCAAGAGAACUGUGGAAGCCCACACGGAGUUGAUGAACCACAGCAGGGGUUCACAAAGAGCCCCUGGGUGCACAGCACUAUGCCUUGGAGAACAGUUUCUUUGGCAGAGCUUCAUCAUCAGUACCAUCACUUUUCUUGUGCUUUGUCGAUAUUUGGAUGGGUGGUCCUGGACCCAGAGAGUUAAGGCAACUUACCCAAGGUCACAAUAGCUUACAUCUCCAAAUGCUCAGCUCUGUGCUAUGGAACCCACUGCUUUCUAAUAGAUUUAAAUGAUAUGAACACCAGUGUGAAGACAGCAAAAAGACGGCCACCUAAGAACAUGGAAACAGGUCCUCA
Long non-coding RNA from Physeter macrocephalus (sperm whale), 496 nucleotides. RefSeq lists it as uncharacterized. Lineage: Eukaryota; Metazoa; Chordata; Mammalia; Artiodactyla; Physeteridae. The transcript has 4 exons. The record is from RefSeq and is a predicted model, not a curated record.